RNAcentral lists this transfer RNA (113 nucleotides) under Puccinia triticina 1-1 BBBD Race 1. Its description in RNAcentral is "Puccinia triticina tRNA PTTG_20452". It matches the Rfam family "tRNA". Rfam says of the family: Transfer RNA (tRNA) molecules are approximately 80 nucleotides in length. Their secondary structure includes four short double-helical elements and three loops (D, anti-codon, and T loops). The record is from Rfam by way of RNAcentral. Lineage: Eukaryota; Fungi; Basidiomycota; Pucciniomycetes; Pucciniales; Pucciniaceae.
GUCUCCGUGGCGCAAUUGGUUAGCGCGUUCGACUGUUAUCUAGAUCUGCCGCUUACACGGGCGUACAAGGCAUGACCAUCGAGAGGUUGACAGUUCAAUCCUGUCCGGGGACG